GAUGAACGCUGGCGGCGUGCCUAAUACAUGCAAGUCGAGCGAACAGACGAGGAGCUUGCUCCUCUGACGUUAGCGGCGGACGGGUGAGUAACACGUGGAUAACCUACCUAUAAGACUGGGAUAACUUCGGGAAGCCGGAGCUAAUACCGGAUAAUAUAUUGAACCGCAUGGUUCAAUAGUGAAAGACGGUUUUGCUGUCACUUAUAGAUGGAUCCGCGCCGCAUUAGCUAGUUGGUAAGGUAACGGCUUACCAAGGCGACGAUGCGUAGCCGACCUGAGAGGGUGAUCGGCCACACUGGAACUGGGACACGGUCCAGACUCCUACGGGAGGCAGCAGUAGGGAAUCUUCCGCAGUGGGCGAAAGCCUGACGGAGCAACGCCGCGUGAGUGAUGAAGGUCUUCGGAUCGUAAAACUCUGUUAUUAGGGAAGAACAAAUGUGUAAGUAACUAUGCACGUCUUGACGGUACCUAAUCAGAAAGCCACGGCUAACUACGUG
RNAcentral lists this ribosomal RNA (497 nucleotides) under uncultured bacterium. RNAcentral describes it as "partial 16S ribosomal RNA". It matches the Rfam family "Bacterial small subunit ribosomal RNA", at positions 28 to 507 of the family's 1533-position model. The record is from RNAcentral.